This is a long non-coding RNA of Diabrotica virgifera virgifera (western corn rootworm), 1447 nucleotides long. RefSeq lists it as uncharacterized. The record is from RefSeq and is a predicted model, not a curated record. NCBI's taxonomy places the organism in Eukaryota, Metazoa, Arthropoda, Insecta, Coleoptera, Chrysomelidae. The transcript has 2 exons.
UCUUUGACUCGAUCACUCAAAAUUGUUUUAGGGCGUCCCAUUUUAGGGGAUAGUUUAAGUAACUUUGUUACUAUGAAAACUUUUUUGAUAGACCAUGUUCUUAAUAAAAAUUGACGGAAUGAGCAGUGGUUGUCCUGUUUGACUAAUUUAUAUGUUUAGAAAAUAAGAAUUAGCCGACUUUAAUUCCUACUUAGAUUUUUACCAAUACAAAAGACCGAAAUGCAGAUAACAACAGUCGGAUUAUUUAUAUUUCUCAAAGAAUCAACAUUGAAAAAUAUCAAUUCCUUAUCUUAUCUUUAUCUAUUUAAUGAUGAACAAUGAAAGUUCCUUCUGUUUCAACACGUGUUAGAAAAAUAAACAACCUUUCAAAAAUUAUGUACAAUAGAAAACUUUCUGUAAAAUCUUUCCAUGCCUUAUUUACUACGUAACUACCUACUUAUUUACGGGCGAGUUAAGCACCUGCAGGUAUUUCGCGGAAAUACACAAAAACUCCAUAUUUCACAUUUAUCGCAUUUAUGUUCAAAAUUUCGCCGAAAUUCGCACCUAUUUCGUAAAAACGAAAAUUCCGUACCCCUAAUUAUAAUAAAACAGUUGGUCCAGAAUCAUUGGUCGCGUUCACCAGAAUAAUCCGAGUGCAAUCCGAUUAAUUUGCGCUGAAACGCUGACAGUUUUUUUACUAGUGAACGACUGACGUUUGACAUUCGAUUGAGAGUGUUCUGUGUUCCAUUUGUUUAUGUUUUUAUUCUUUGUUUAUAUAAUUUAUAACCUAAACCUAGACAGUUUUGUUUUUAUUUUAAAUAAAACUGAAACUGUCUAAACUAAAAUGGAUAAUAUUCUUGAAGAACUUUUGUUUGGGGACGAAAUUAGCAAAUGCCGUUAUACAUUUAGCAGAUGUACCUACCUCAAAUUAUUCCAGAAGGAUGAGAUGAAAUUAAAUAUAUAUAAACCAUAAUUCAAUAUCCAAUUUAGAGAACAUUUUCGUAUGUCCAGAACUACUUUCCAGGAACUAUUUAAUUGUAUUGGUCAUAUCCACCAAUUUGAAAACAGAAUAAUUCUAUUGGAAAAAAUUAAUGUUUAUGAUGUGGAUGCUAAGUAAACCAGAUAAUUUGUUGCUGGGGAUACGUUUGGUUUGCCAAAGAGCUCUGGACAUAAGAUUUUCACCCAAAUAAUAUAGAAUUACAAAAAAUUGGAAAUAACUAAUCUUGAAUAUCAAUGUGUAUAUUGAGUUUAAUUUUAUUGUAAAUAUUCUAUAAUAUAAUUUUAUUGUAAAUAUUGUAUUAACACAUUUGUGGACACAUUUUCAUAUGCAGACAGUAAUUUCCCUUUGUAAGUACAUGCAUAUAUAGUCGUAUCUGCGAAUGGGUUAAUUGUAAAUCGUAAUCAAUAAAAAUUUUUUGUGAAUCAAUAAAAAACUGGUUUGUUUGAAAAUAAAUGUAGUACAAAUGUG